This 495-nucleotide ribosomal RNA is filed under the name uncultured bacterium. Its description in RNAcentral is "partial 16S ribosomal RNA". It matches the Rfam family "Bacterial small subunit ribosomal RNA", at positions 28 to 507 of the family's 1533-position model. The record is from RNAcentral.
GACGAACGCUGGCGGCGUGCCUAAUACAUGCAAGUCGAACGCUGAAGGAGGAGCUUGCUCUUCUGGAUGAGUUGCGAACGGGUGAGUAACGCGUAGGUAACCUGCCUGGUAGCGGGGGAUAACUAUUGGAAACGAUAGCUAAUACCGCAUAAGAGUAGAUGUUGCAUGACAUUUGCUUAAAAGGUGCAAUUGCAUCACUACCAGAUGGACCUGCGUUGUAUUAGCUAGUUGGUGGGGUAACGGCUCACCAAGGCGACGAUACAUAGCCGACCUGAGAGGGGGGUCGGGCAAACUGGGACUGGGACACGGCCCAGACUCCUACGGGGGGCAACAGUAGGGGAUCUUCGGCAAUGGGCGGAAGUCUGACCGAACAACGCCGCGUGAGUGAAGAAGGUUUUCGGAUCGUAAAGCUCUGUUGUAAGAGAAGAAAGAGUGUGAGAGUGGAAAGUUCACGCUGUGACGGUAUCUUACCAGAAAGGGACGGCUAACUACGUG